UUAAGUUAGAAAGGGCGCACGGUGGAUGCCUUGACACUAGGAGUCGAUGAAGGACGGGACUAACGCCGAUAUGCUUCGGGGAGCUGUAAGUAAGCUUUGAUCCGAAGAUUUCCGAAUGGGGAAACCCACCAUACGUAAUGGUAUGGUAUCCUUAUCUGAAUACAUAGGAUAAGGAAGACAGACCCAGGGAACUGAAACAUCUAAGUACCUGGAGGAAGAGAAAGCAAAUGCGAUUUCCUGAGUAGCGGCGAGCGAAACGGAACAUAGCCCAAACCAAGAGGCUUGCCUCUUGGGGUUGUAGGACAUUCUAUACGGAGUUACAAAGGAACGAGGUAGACGAAGCGACCUGGAAAGGUCCGUCGUAGAGGGUAACAACCCCGUAGUCGAAACUUCGUUCUCUCUUGAAUGUAUCCUGAGUACGGCGGAACACGUGAAAUUCCGUCGGAAUCUGGGAGGACCAUCUCCCAAGGCUAAAUACUCCCUAGUGAUCGAUAGUGAACCAGUACCGUGAGGGAAAGGUGAAAAGCACCCCGGAAGGGGAGUGAAAGAGAUCCUGAAACCGUGUGCCUACAAAUAGUCAGAGCCCGUUAACGGGUGAUGGCGUGCCUUUUGUAGAAUGAACCGGCGAGUUACGAUCCCGUGCGAGGUUAAGCUGAAGAGGCGGAGCCGCAGCGAAAGCGAGUCUGAAUAGGGCGUUUAGUACGUGGUCGUAGACCCGAAACCAGGUGAUCUACCCAUGUCCAGGGUGAAGUUCAGGUAACACUGAAUGGAGGCCCGAACCCACGCACGUUGAAAAGUGCGGGGAUGAGGUGUGGGUAGCGGAGAAAUUCCAAUCGAACCUGGAGAUAGCUGGUUCUCCCCGAAAUAGCUUUAGGGCUAGCCUUAAGUGUAAGAGUCUUGGAGGUAGAGCACUGAUUGGACUAGGGGUCCUCAUCGGAUUACCGAAUUCAGUCAAACUCCGAAUGCCAAUGACUUAUCCUUAGGAGUCAGACUGCGAGUGAUAAGAUCCGUAGUCAAAAGGGAAACAGCCCAGACCGCCAGCUAAGGUCCCAAAGUGUGUAUUAAGUGGAAAAGGAUGUGGAGUUGCUUAGACAACUAGGAUGUUGGCUUAGAAGCAGCCACCAUUUAAAGAGUGCGUAAUAGCUCACUAGUCGAGUGACUCUGCGCCGAAAAUGUACCGGGGCUAAAUACACCACCGAAGCUGCGGAUUGAUACCAAUGGUAUCAGUGGUAGGGGAGCGUUCUAAGGACAGUGAAGUCAGACCGGAAGGACUGGUGGAGUGCUUAGAAGUGAGAAUGCCGGUAUGAGUAGCGAAAGACGGGUGAGAAUCCCGUCCACCGAAUGCCUAAGGUUUCCUGAGGAAGGCUCGUCCGCUCAGGGUUAGUCAGGACCUAAGCCGAGGCCGACAGGCGUAGGCGAUGGACAACAGGUUGAUAUUCCUGUACCACCUCUUUAUCGUUUGAGCAAUGGAGGGACGCAGAAGGAUAGAAGAAGCGUGCGAUUGGUUGUGCACGUCCAAGCAGUUAGGCUGAUAAGUAGGCAAAUCCGCUUAUCGUGAAGGCUGAGCUGUGAUGGGGAAGCUCCUUAUGGAGCGAAGUCUUUGAUUCCCCGCUGCCAAGAAAAGCUUCUAGCGAGAUAAAAGGUGCCUGUACCGCAAACCGACACAGGUAGGCGAGGAGAGAAUCCUAAGGUGUGCGAGAGAACUCUGGUUAAGGAACUCGGCAAAAUGACCCCGUAACUUCGGGAGAAGGGGUGCUUUCUUAACGGAAAGCCGCAGUGAAUAGGCCCAAGCGACUGUUUAGCAAAAACACAGCUCUCUGCGAAGCCGUAAGGCGAAGUAUAGGGGGUGACACCUGCCCGGUGCUGGAAGGUUAAGGAGAGGGGUUAGCGUAAGCGAAGCUCUGAACUGAAGCCCCAGUAAACGGCGGCCGUAACUAUAACGGUCCUAAGGUAGCGAAAUUCCUUGUCGGGUAAGUUCCGACCCGCACGAAAGGUGUAACGAUUUGGGCACUGUCUCAACCAGAGACUCGGUGAAAUUAUAGUACCUGUGAAGAUGCAGGUUACCCGCGACAGGACGGAAAGACCCCGUGGAGCUUUACUGUAGCCUGAUAUUGAAUUUUGGUACAGUUUGUACAGGAUAGGCGGGAGCCUUUGAAACCGGAGCGCUAGCUUCGGUGGAGGCGCUGGUGGGAUACCGCCCUGACUGUAUUGAAAUUCUAACCUACGGGUCUUAUCGACCCGGGAGACAGUGUCAGGUGGGCAGUUUGACUGGGGCGGUCGCCUCCUAAAGUGUAACGGAGGCGCCCAAAGGUUCCCUCAGAAUGGUUGGAAAUCAUUCGUAGAGUGCAAAGGCAUAAGGGAGCUUGACUGCGAGACCUACAAGUCGAGCAGGGACGAAAGUCGGGCUUAGUGAUCCGGUGGUUCCGCAUGGAAGGGCCAUCGCUCAACGGAUAAAAGCUACCCCGGGGAUAACAGGCUUAUCUCCCCCAAGAGUCCACAUCGACGGGGAGGUUUGGCACCUCGAUGUCGGCUCAUCGCAUCCUGGGGCUGUAGUCGGUCCCAAGGGUUGGGCUGUUCGCCCAUUAAAGCGGUACGCGAGCUGGGUUCAGAACGUCGUGAGACAGUUCGGUCCCUAUCCGUCGUGGGCGUAGGAAAUUUGAGAGGAGCUGUCCUUAGUACGAGAGGACCGGGAUGGACGCACCGCUGGUGUACCAGUUGUUCUGCCAAGGGCAUAGCUGGGUAGCUAUGUGCGGAAGGGAUAAGUGCUGAAAGCAUCUAAGCAUGAAGCCCCCCUCAAGAUGAGAUUUCCCAUAGCGUAAGCUAGUAAGAUCCCUGAAAGAUGAUCAGGUUGAUAGGUUCGAGGUGGAAGCAUGGUGACAUGUGGAGCUGACGAAUACUAAUAGAUCGAGGACUUAACCAU
RNAcentral lists this ribosomal RNA (2920 nucleotides) under Bacillus anthracis (anthrax bacterium). Its description in RNAcentral is "bacterial LSU rRNA". It matches the Rfam family "Bacterial large subunit ribosomal RNA". The record is from RNAcentral. Lineage: Bacteria; Bacillati; Bacillota; Bacilli; Caryophanales; Bacillaceae. RNAcentral also lists the same sequence under 3 other names.